Molecule: long non-coding RNA, 500 nt
Organism: Zophobas morio
Lineage: Eukaryota; Metazoa; Arthropoda; Insecta; Coleoptera; Tenebrionidae
Exons: 3
Source: RefSeq, a predicted model, not a curated record
GGUUAUGUUUCCCAGAAAUCAAAUAUAGUUACAAGAGAAAACUUACGAAAAUUUUUAGCAGAGGCCCGUGAUUAAUGUACCUAAUGUCAAAGGUAUAUUUUUUAUUCGAACCUGGUUGUAGGAGUAUGCGGAAUGGAAGAAUUUGAACAAUUUUCUUGUAUCUACAUAACCUAUAAUAAGCUUUUAUUAUUAUUACAGAACAGAUUAUUAGCUUACAUGCCCAUUUUAAAUGAAAAAAGAUCUGCAGCAAUUGCAAAAUAGAGAUGGAUAGCUAUAAUAACAAGAACUUUACAUGCAUUCGACCGAACUUGCAAAAACUGGCAGAUAAUAUAUCAAAUUUAUUACCCAAAAACUCAGCCACAGUUUAUGAAAAGCGGUAUGAAAAUUUUUUUUUUGGCGCAGAAACAACCAUGCGAAAUACAUGGAGAACACCUCAUUGCAUACGAGUAUUUCGCUGGAAAAGCAAAUUCUGUGAAAUCUUUAACACUUUGGGUGCAUAG